This 1571-nucleotide ribosomal RNA is filed under the name Staphylococcus aureus. RNAcentral describes it as "partial 23S ribosomal RNA". It matches the Rfam family "Bacterial large subunit ribosomal RNA", at positions 1356 to 2925 of the family's 2925-position model. Lineage: Bacteria; Bacillati; Bacillota; Bacilli; Caryophanales; Staphylococcaceae. The record is from RNAcentral.
AGAGGAAGGCUCGUCCGCUCUGGGUUAGUCGGGUCCUAAGCUGAGGCCGACAGGCGUAGGCGAUGGAUAACAGGUUGAUAUUCCUGUACCACCUAUAAUCGUUUUAAUCGAUGGGGGGACGCAGUAGGAUAGGCGAAGCGUGCGAUUGGAUUGCACGUCUAAGCAGUAAGGCUGAGUAUUAGGCAAAUCCGGUACUCGUUAAGGCUGAGCUGUGAUGGGGAGAAGACAUUGUGUCUUCGAGUCGUUGAUUUCACACUGCCGAGAAAAGCCUCUAGAUAGAAAAUAGGUGCCCGUACCGCAAACCGACACAGGUAGUCAAGAUGAGAAUUCUAAGGUGAGCGAGCGAACUCUCGUUAAGGAACUCGGCAAAAUGACCCCGUAACUUCGGGAGAAGGGGUGCUCUUUAGGGUUAACGCCCAGAAGAGCCGCAGUGAAUAGGCCCAAGCGACUGUUUAUCAAAAACACAGGUCUCUGCUAAACCGUAAGGUGAUGUAUAGGGGCUGACGCCUGCCCGGUGCUGGAAGGUUAAGAGGAGUGGUUAGCUUCUGCGAAGCUACGAAUCGAAGCCCCAGUAAACGGCGGCCGUAACUAUAACGGUCCUAAGGUAGCGAAAUUCCUUGUCGGGUAAGUUCCGACCCGCACGAAAGGCGUAACGAUUUGGGCACUGUCUCAACGAGAGACUCGGUGAAAUCAUAGUACCUGUGAAGAUGCAGGUUACCCGCGACAGGACGGAAAGACCCCGUGGAGCUUUACUGUAGCCUGAUAUUGAAAUUCGGCACAGCUUGUACAGGAUAGGUAGGAGCCUUUGAAACGUGAGCGCUAGCUUACGUGGAGGCGCUGGUGGGAUACUACCCUAGCUGUGUUGGCUUUCUAACCCGCACCACUUAUCGUGGUGGGAGACAGUGUCAGGCGGGCAGUUUGACUGGGGCGGUCGCCUCCUAAAAGGUAACGGAGGCGCUCAAAGGUUCCCUCAGAAUGGUUGGAAAUCAUUCAUAGAGUGUAAAGGCAUAAGGGAGCUUGACUGCGAGACCUACAAGUCGAGCAGGGUCGAAAGACGGACUUAGUGAUCCGGUGGUUCCGCAUGGAAGGGCCAUCGCUCAACGGAUAAAAGCUACCCCGGGGAUAACAGGCUUAUCUCCCCCAAGAGUUCACAUCGACGGGGAGGUUUGGCACCUCGAUGUCGGCUCAUCGCAUCCUGGGGCUGUAGUCGGUCCCAAGGGUUGGGCUGUUCGCCCAUUAAAGCGGUACGCGAGCUGGGUUCAGAACGUCGUGAGACAGUUCGGUCCCUAUCCGUCGUGGGCGUAGGAAAUUUGAGAGGAGCUGUCCUUAGUACGAGAGGACCGGGAUGGACAUACCUCUGGUGUACCAGUUGUCGUGCCAACGGCAUAGCUGGGUAGCUAUGUGUGGACGGGAUAAGUGCUGAAAGCAUCUAAGCAUGAAGCCCCCCUCAAGAUGAGAUUUCCCAACUUCGGUUAUAAGAUCCCUCAAAGAUGAUGAGGUUAAUAGGUUCGAGGUGGAAGCAUGGUGACAUGUGGAGCUGACGAAUACUAAUCGAUCGAAGACUUAAUCAA